This 268-nucleotide ribosomal RNA is filed under the name uncultured soil bacterium. RNAcentral describes it as "partial 16S ribosomal RNA". It matches the Rfam family "Bacterial small subunit ribosomal RNA", at positions 26 to 293 of the family's 1533-position model. The record is from RNAcentral.
AGAUUGAACGCUGGCGGCAGGCCUAACACAUGCAAGUCGAGCGGCAGCACGGGUACUUGUACCUGGUGGCGAGCGGCGGACGGGUGAGUAAUGCCUAGGAAUCUGCCUGAUAGUGGGGGAUAACGUUCGGAAACGGACGCUAAUACCGCAUACGUCCUACGGGAGAAAGUGGGGGAUCUUCGGACCUCACGCUAUCAGAUGAGCCUAGGUCGGAUUAGCUAGGUUGGUAGGGUAAAGGCCUACCAAGGCUACGAUCCGUAACUGGUCU